Molecule: ribosomal RNA, 324 nt
Filed under: uncultured eukaryote
Lineage: Eukaryota
Description: partial 18S ribosomal RNA
Rfam family: Eukaryotic small subunit ribosomal RNA
Source: RNAcentral
CCCUUAGAUGCUCUGGGCCGCACGCGCGCUACACUGAUGCAUUCAACGAGUUUCUUCCUGGUCCGAGAGGAAUGGGUAACCUUUUGAAAGUGCAUCGUGAUAGGGAUAGACUAUUGCAAUUAUUGGUCUUCAACGAGGAAUUCCUAGUAGACGUAGUUCAUCAGACUGCAUCGAUUACGUCCCUGCCCUUUGUACACACCGCCCGUCGCUCCUACCGAUUGAAUGCUCAGGUGAGCCAUUCGGACUUUCAUCAUGCUGGUUUCCAGUUUUGAUGAAGGAAAGUCUUGCGAACCUUAUCAUUUAGAGGAAGGAGAAGUCGUAACA